GCACAAGCGGUGGAGCAUGUGGUUUAAUUCGACGCAACGCGAAGAACCUUACCUGGGCUUGACAUCUGCGGAAUUUCUACGAAAGUGGGAAGUGCCCUUCGGGGAGCCGCAAGACAGGUGCUGCAUGGCUGUCGUCAGCUCGUGUCGUGAGAUGUUGGGUUAAGUCCCGCAACGAGCGCAACCCUUAUCUUUAGUUACCAUCAUUCAGUUGGGGACUCUAAAGACACUGCCCCGGUCAACGGGGAGGAAGGUGGGGAUGACGUCAAGUCCUCAUGGCCCUUAUGUCCAGGGCUACACACGUGCUACAAUGGGCAGUACAAAGGGCAGCGAGCCUGCGAAGGUGAGCCAAUCCCAAAAAGCUGUUCGUAGUUCGGAUUGGAGUCUGCAACUCGACUCCAUGAAGCUGGAAUCGCUAGUAAUCGCGGAUCAGCAUGCCGUGGUGAAUACGUUCCCGGGCCUU
Molecule: ribosomal RNA, 460 nt
Filed under: uncultured Desulfobacterium sp.
Lineage: Bacteria; Pseudomonadati; Thermodesulfobacteriota; Desulfobacteria; Desulfobacterales; Desulfobacteriaceae
Description: bacterial SSU rRNA
Rfam family: Bacterial small subunit ribosomal RNA
Source: RNAcentral